GGGGCGUGGCUCAGUGGUAGAGAGCUUACCUAGAAUGCACAAGGUCCUAGGUUCAAUCUCUAGUGCUCCA
RNAcentral lists this transfer RNA (70 nucleotides) under Mus musculus (house mouse). Its description in RNAcentral is "tRNA-Ser". The record is from RNAcentral. Lineage: Eukaryota; Metazoa; Chordata; Mammalia; Rodentia; Muridae.